CUACUUGAGUAGCAAUACAAAGGUAGUUUAGUGGCGGACGGGUGAGUAAUGCAUGGGUAACGUACCUUUAGCCCAGGGAUAGCGUCGGGCCCGCAAGGGUCCUUUGCGAAAGUGACGGUAAUACCUGGUAACAUUCCGGAAUCGCAUGGUUUUGGAAUCAAAGAUGGGGAUCUUCGGACCUAUCGGCUUUGGAGCGGCCCAUGUCCUAUCAGCUAGUUGGUGAGGUAACGGCCCACCAAGGCUUUGACGGGUAGCCGGCGUGAGAGCGCGACCGGCCACAUCGGAACUGAGACACUGUCCGGACACCUACGGGCGGCUGCAGCAACGAAUAUUCCGCAAUGGGCGCAAGCCUGACGGAGCGACGCCGCGUGAAGGAUGAAGUCCUUCGGGAUGUAAACUUCAAUAGUUUGUCAGGAAGUAAUCCGACCUAAUACGUCGGAAAGUUGACCAACAAAUGAAAGAGACGGCUAACUCCGUGCCAGCAGCCGCGGUAAGACGGAGGUCUCUAGCGUUGUUCGGAAUUACUGGGCUUAAAGCGCGUGUAGGCGGGGUGGCAAGUACCGUGUGAAAUCCCUGGGCUCAACCCGGGAACGGCUCGGUAUACUGUCACUCUUGAGGCAGGUAGGGGUCACUGGAACCUUAGGUGGAGCGGUGAAAUGCGUAGAUAUCUAAGGGAACGCCUGUGGCGAAAGCGGGUGACUGGGCCUGUCCUGACGCUGAGACGCGAAAGCGUAGGGAGCAAACGGGAUUAGAUACCCCGGUAGUCUACGCCGUAAACGAUGCGCACUAGGUUCGAGGAUCUCUGACGAUACUCGAGCCG
This 820-nucleotide ribosomal RNA is filed under the name uncultured Pseudomonadota bacterium. RNAcentral's name for it is "bacterial SSU rRNA". It matches the Rfam family "Bacterial small subunit ribosomal RNA", at positions 75 to 848 of the family's 1533-position model. Lineage: Bacteria; Pseudomonadati; Pseudomonadota. The record is from RNAcentral.